GUUGAUAAGGUUAAGUGAAUAAGGGCGCACGGUGGAUGCCUUGGCACUAGGAGCCGAUGAAGGACGGGACUAACACCGAUAUGCUUUGGGGAGCUGUAAGUAAGCUAUGAUCCAGAGAUUUCCGAAUGGGGGAACCCAAUAUCUUUUAUAGGAUAUUACUUUUCAGUGAAUACAUAGCUGAUUAGAGGUAGACGCAGAGAACUGAAACAUCUUAGUACCUGCAGGAAGAGAAAGAAAAUUCGAUUCCCUGAGUAGCGGCGAGCGAAACGGGAAGAGCCCAAACCAACAAGCUUGCUUGUUGGGGUUGUAGGACUCCAAUAUGGUAGUCUGUUAGUAUAGUUGAAGGAUUUGGAAAAUUCCGCUAAAGAGGGUGAAAGCCCCGUAGACGAAAUGCUAACAACACCUAGGAGGAUCCUGAGUACGGCGGAACACGAGAAAUUCCGUCGGAAUCCGCGGGGACCAUCCCGCAAGGCUAAAUACUCCCUAGUGACCGAUAGUGAACCAGUACCGUGAGGGAAAGGUGAAAAGCACCCCGGAAGGGGAGUGAAAUAGAUCCUGAAACCGUGUGCCUACAACAAGUCAAAGCUCGUUAAUGAGUGAUGGCGUGCCUUUUGUAGAAUGAACCGGCGAGUUACGAUUGCAUGCGAGGUUAAGUCGAAGAGACGGAGCCGCAGCGAAAGCGAGUCUGAAUAGGGCGAAUGAGUAUGUAGUCGUAGACCCGAAACCAUGUGAUCUACCCAUGUCCAGGUUGAAGGUGCGGUAAAACGCACUGGAGGACCGAACCCACGUACGUUGAAAAGUGCGGGGAUGAGGUGUGGGUAGCGGAGAAAUUCCAAACGAACUUGGAGAUAGCUGGUUCUCUCCGAAAUAGCUUUAGGGCUAGCCUCGGAAUUGAGAAUGAUGGAGGUAGAGCACUGUUUGGACUAGGGGCCCAUCUCGGGUUACCGAAUUCAGAUAAACUCCGAAUGCCAUUCAUUUAUAUCCGGGAGUCAGACUGCGAGUGAUAAGAUCCGUAGUCGAAAGGGAAACAGCCCAGACCACCAGCUAAGGUCCCAAAAUAUAUGUUAAGUGGAAAAGGAUGUGGGGUUGCACAGACAACUAGGAUGUUGGCUUAGAAGCAGCCACCAUUUAAAGAGUGCGUAAUAGCUCACUAGUCGAGUGACCCUGCGCCGAAAAUGUACCGGGGCUAAACAUAUUACCGAAGCUGUGGACUACACCAUUAGGUGUAGUGGUAGGAGA
Molecule: ribosomal RNA, 1239 nt
Filed under: Enterococcus faecalis
Lineage: Bacteria; Bacillati; Bacillota; Bacilli; Lactobacillales; Enterococcaceae
Description: partial 23S ribosomal RNA
Rfam family: Bacterial large subunit ribosomal RNA
Source: RNAcentral